This 229-nucleotide unclassified non-coding RNA is filed under the name plant metagenome. RNAcentral describes it as "partial contains small subunit ribosomal RNA, internal transcribed spacer 1, and 5.8S ribosomal RNA". The record is from RNAcentral.
GCUCCGUAGGUGAACCUGCGGAGGGAUCAUUACAGAGUUCAUGCCCUACCGGGUAGAUCUCCCACCCUAUGUUAUUAUUACUUUGUUGCUUUGGCGGGCCGUUAGGCUCCGGCCCGACUACCGGCCCCGGCUGGUAAGCGCCCGCCAGAGGACCCAAAACCCUGAAUAUUAGUGUCGUCUGAGUACUAUAUAAUAGUUAAAACUUUCAACAACGGAUCCCUUGGUUCUG